Molecule: ribosomal RNA, 444 nt
Filed under: uncultured bacterium
Lineage: Bacteria
Description: bacterial SSU rRNA
Rfam family: Bacterial small subunit ribosomal RNA
Source: RNAcentral
UGAGGAAUAUUGGUCAAUGGGCGCAAGCCUGAACCAGCCAUGCCGCGUGAAGGAUGAAGGCCUUCUGGGUUGUAAACUUCUUUUAUGAGGGAAGAAAACUACGGUUUCUACUGUAGCCGACGGUACCUUAGGAAUAAGCACCGGCUAACUCCGUGCCAGCAGCCGCGGUAAUACGGAGGGUGCAAGCGUUAUCCGGAUUUACUGGGUUUAAAGGGUGUGUAGGCGGGCUUUUAAGUCAGUGGUGAAAUCUCCGGGCUCAACCCGGAAACUGCCAUUGAUACUAUUAGUCUUGAAUUUUGUUGAGGUAGGCGGAAUAAGUCAUGUAGCGGUGAAAUGCAUAGAUAUGACUUAGAACACCAAUUGCGAAGGCAGCUUGCUAAACAAAUAUUGACGCUGAGGCACGAAAGCGUGGGGAUCAAACAGGAUUAGAUACCCCCGUAGUCC